RNAcentral lists this ribosomal RNA (171 nucleotides) under Pseudomonas aeruginosa. RNAcentral describes it as "partial 23S ribosomal RNA". It matches the Rfam family "Bacterial large subunit ribosomal RNA", at positions 2759 to 2925 of the family's 2925-position model. RNAcentral also lists the same sequence under 2 other names. Lineage: Bacteria; Pseudomonadati; Pseudomonadota; Gammaproteobacteria; Pseudomonadales; Pseudomonadaceae. The record is from RNAcentral.
AGAGAUAAGUGCUGAAAGCAUCUAAGCACGAAACUUGCCCCGAGAUGAGUUCUCCCUGAGACUUUAAGUCUCCUGAAGGAACGUUAAAGACGAUGACGUUGAUAGGCCGGGUGUGUAAGCGCAGCGAUGCGUUGAGCUAACCGGUACUAAUGAACCGUGAGGCUUAACCUU